This 248-nucleotide long non-coding RNA is filed under the name Brassica rapa (field mustard). Its description in RNAcentral is "long non-coding RNA (BRAP_LNC002950)". The record is from RNAcentral. Lineage: Eukaryota; Viridiplantae; Streptophyta; Magnoliopsida; Brassicales; Brassicaceae.
AAAUGGAGGCGAUGGUCCCUUCUUAUUCCACUCUUUUGUCCACUCGGUAUCAAUCCAAUAGUUCCUUUCUCCUUUAAUUUUUUUAAUUUUUAUCUUCUUUCUUUUAGCUCUUUGAUAUUUAUACCCUUUUAAUUUUAAUCAUUGUCUAGUACGUUUUCUUGCUUGAUCAUUUUUUAGAGGAGAAGGUUUUUUUUCUCUCUUAAAUAUCGAUAAACUAUGUCUUUCUGAUUUUAAGUUUUCUAGCUUUG